GACGAACGCUGGCGGCGUGCUCAACACAUGCAAGUCGAGCGGUAAGGCCCUUUCGGGGGUACACGAGCGGCGAACGGGUGAGUAACACGUGGGUGACCUGCCCUUAGCUCUGGGAUAAGCCUGGGAAACUGGGUCUAAUACCGGAUAUGACUCCAUAACGCAUGUUGUGGGGUGGAAAGCCUUGUGCGGCUAGGGAUGGGCCCGCGGCCUAUCAGCUUGUUGGUGGGGUGAUGGCCUACCAAGGCGACGACGGGUAGCCGGCCUGAGAGGGCGACCGGCCACACUGGGACUGAGACACGGCCCAGACUCCUACGGGAGGCAGCAGUGGGGAAUCUUGCGCAAUGGGCGAAAGCCUGACGCAGCGACGCCGCGUGGGGAUGACGGCCU
This 387-nucleotide ribosomal RNA is filed under the name uncultured bacterium. Its description in RNAcentral is "bacterial SSU rRNA". It matches the Rfam family "Bacterial small subunit ribosomal RNA", at positions 28 to 417 of the family's 1533-position model. The record is from RNAcentral.